GCUGGGUGUGUUGGCACAUGCCUGUAAUCCCAGCAGCUUGGGAGGCUGAGGCAGGAGGAUCACAAGUUCAAACCUAGCCCCAUCAACAUAAUGAAGCCCUAAGCAACUCAAUGAAACCCUGUCUCUA
Molecule: small RNA, 127 nt
Filed under: Marmota monax (woodchuck)
Lineage: Eukaryota; Metazoa; Chordata; Mammalia; Rodentia; Sciuridae
Source: RNAcentral